Long non-coding RNA from Raphanus sativus (radish), 863 nucleotides. RefSeq lists it as uncharacterized. Lineage: Eukaryota; Viridiplantae; Streptophyta; Magnoliopsida; Brassicales; Brassicaceae. The transcript has 5 exons. The record is from RefSeq and is a predicted model, not a curated record.
GAGUGUUGGCCUAUUACCGACCCUUUAGUCGUCUCUAUAGUUUCCAUGAGAUGUCGCCGUCUUCCUCUAGGCUUCAUGGUUUAUCGUAUCCUCGAUGCUUUGAUUAGUUCCAGUAACAAUGGUGUUUCUGAAUGUAGUGGUCAAAGUUCAAUUUCGUCGUUUUGUCUAUGGUUUUUACUCAUCGGUGACGUUACUGGAUUUCUUCAUUCAAUGAUUAUCAUUAACGCUUUCACUAACGCCCCCUUCCCACUCCUUACACGGUUACUUCUUUCUUCCAUGUGGCUCGAUUCUGUUUCUCUAUGGGCGACACUGAUGAUCUGAACAUUACUCCGAAGAGCACUAAGAAGCUUUGUACUUGAAAGAGGAGAUGAUAUCUUUGUUGGGCAAUGCCAAUACAUAUUCACGGGUACUGAAACAACUUCAGUUUCGCCAGAGUGGCGGAACCAAUUCCAUGACCACGUCGAACUCUGUCAUGACCACAGUCAUAGAUAUUGAUGAUGAAGAAAUCUCUUAGAUCAUAAAUCAUCCUGCUGUUCAUCUGGAGAUGGGAAAGGAGGAUGAUGAAGCUGAGGUUUAGGAGGAUUAGAUGGUUGGGAAGGAGCCUGAUGCAUAGAAGAAAAGAGAACUGGAGGAGGAAGAGACUGAUAAUGCUGUGUACAAGGACUUCAAAACUGCUAUUAAUCAUUAAUCCUAAAAGGAUCAGAUAUCAAUGAGAGAGAUACAGAAACAAGAAGAGGUGAAGCGUUAAAAGAGAGAAGCUGCUGAGGCAGAGUAGAAGAGCAUAGAUGAAUUAGAAAACUUUUUUAUGUAAUGUGUCUCAAACAAUUGUUGAAGAUAUAAUGAUCAGGUUUUGCAACCGUUAA